Long non-coding RNA from Medicago truncatula (barrel medic), 432 nucleotides. RefSeq lists it as uncharacterized. NCBI's taxonomy places the organism in Eukaryota, Viridiplantae, Streptophyta, Magnoliopsida, Fabales, Fabaceae. The transcript has 2 exons. The record is from RefSeq and is a predicted model, not a curated record.
AGGUGAAUCAAGCAAGACCAACUUGCAGGAGGAAGAGAAAGGUCAAACUCUAACAGUUCCAGGAACACUUCUGGUAUGUCUUAUGAAGAUAAAUACAUAAAUUCUUUUUGAAAGGUAAGAACACAAUAUGUAAUGUCCAUUUAUAUUUUACAGGGUUCCUUUGUGUGAGAGCAAUUGAUACAAUAACUGGAGCUCCAAAGCCUAUAUCAUCUAUAUGGCAUCGCAACACAACAAACCAAGUUCGAAAGAGAAACAAAAAUGUGUCAACUGGGUCGCCAAAGGAGUUUUAAUCAAUACUUUUGGUUUUCCUUUUUACUGUGGUUAAGGAUAAUUUGUAUGCUUCUUUUUGUUCUUUUUCCAAAUUCGAAUUCAGUUUGUUUUAGAAAUACUUGAUUAUCGUUUCUGCUAAUGUAUUUCAAGGGUUCAGUCUUU